AAGCGGAAGAAGAGAAACUAACAAGGAUACUGUUCGUAAUGGCGAAUGAACACUGUUUUACCACUAUCGAACCUUACAUUAACUCAAUGUAUGGAGUGUGAUAUUGGUGUGAUUCGAUGUGAUCGUCUUUAGCUAUGAAAGUUUGAUUGAUUGCAACUAUUCAUAGAGGGUGAAAGUCCCGUGUCACUGCUAAUUGACGAUUCACUUGUUUUGCGCAUGAGUAAAGCUGUUUCGAACUGCAGCUUGAAUGUACGUGGUGAACUCCAUGUAAGAUUCAAUAUGUUUGCGAGACCGAUAGAGGACAAGUACCGUGAGGGAAAGUUGAAAAGUACUCUGGAAAGAGAGUGAACAAGCCUGUGCAACUGUACAUUGCAAAGCGAAUGACAGAAAGUGCAAACUCGUUGUUCAAUUGCUUAUUCGUCAAUAAUUGAUUGUUCAUAUUUCUUGGAAAGACGUUAAGCAGCUUGUCUGAGGAGUUUUGCUAAUGCGACGCCUGUCGACUAUGAUCUUUGAUGUGCGAACAAGUAUCGUUUCGUUAUUUGUUGCUCAUCAUGUUAGUGUACUGAGCACUACGACUAACAUGGCUGGUGUUUACUGAUUACUUGACAUCGAUCCACUUUCACUAUUGUGAUUGGUGAAUUGUCAAGUUCACUUGGUGUAUUAGCUCAAUGAUCUGUCAUCUGAACCGUCUUGAAACACGGACUAAGGAGUUCAACUUGAGCGCAAGUCGACUACAUGAAUAAAGUAUGGGGCACAGUGAAAGCAAUCUUGCAAUGAAUGUGAACUGAUGUUGCAAUUGUACACUGAAGGUUAGCACAUGAUCUGGGUGGCAGUUUAUUAUUUGCCUACUGCAACAGAGCGCUUUGGUUGUGACCCGAAAGA
RNAcentral lists this ribosomal RNA (882 nucleotides) under Pararhadinorhynchus sodwanensis. RNAcentral describes it as "partial large subunit ribosomal RNA". It matches the Rfam family "Eukaryotic large subunit ribosomal RNA", at positions 48 to 823 of the family's 3401-position model. Lineage: Eukaryota; Metazoa; Acanthocephala; Palaeacanthocephala; Transvenidae. The record is from RNAcentral.